UACGUAGGGUGCGAGCGUUAAUCGGAAUUACUGGGCGUAAAGCGUGCGCAGGCGGUUUUGUAAGCCAGGUGUGAAAUCCCCGGGCUCAACCUGGGAAUGGCAUUUGGGACUGCAAGGCUGGAGUGCGGCAGAGGAGACUGGAAUUCCUGGUGUAGCAGUGAAAUGCGUAGAUAUCGGGAGGAACACCAGUGGCGAAAGCGGCUUCCUGGUCCAGCACCGACGUUCAGGCACGAAAGCGUGGGGAGCAAACAGG
RNAcentral lists this ribosomal RNA (253 nucleotides) under uncultured bacterium. Its description in RNAcentral is "partial 16S ribosomal RNA". It matches the Rfam family "Bacterial small subunit ribosomal RNA", at positions 524 to 776 of the family's 1533-position model. The record is from RNAcentral.